CUCAGAGUUUCCAGAUUUCUGGACAAAGAAGAGGAGGAAAUUAUGGCAGCAGAAAAAUCUAUGCAAAUAAAUCCUCAGUAAUGAGAGGGAAGGAGGAAGUGCUGUAUUGUCUUCAUCAAACACAGUCAUGGCUGGCUCUGAGUGACAGGGAGGAGGACUCAAUAUCUAGAGGUUCCUUGUGACCAACAUUUUUAUGCGUCUAACUAAAGGUGCCUGGGAAAAUAAAUCAUGUGAGAAUUUCAGUACUGGCUGCUGCAGAGCCCAGAGGAGGCUUGGACAAUGCUUUGGAAAAGUGGUGUUGUGGAAAAUAUUACAGUGUUGUGGAAG
Long non-coding RNA from Passer domesticus (house sparrow), 327 nucleotides. RefSeq lists it as uncharacterized. The transcript is spliced from 3 exons. Lineage: Eukaryota; Metazoa; Chordata; Aves; Passeriformes; Passeridae. The record is from RefSeq and is a predicted model, not a curated record.